CGGAAUUUUAAAAUAUAACCCCCCAUUCCAUGAUCCAGCUUCUGGGACAAGCUUUUCUUCAAUUGCUCUCUCUAAUGGCUCGUAACAGGGAAGCAUUGUUAUUGUUACUCGAUGUUGGCCCGUCGAUGCACAGUGUUCUUCCUCAGGUUGAAAAACUUUGCUCCAUGCUAGUACAAAAGAAGCUGAUUUACGGAAAAAAUGAUGAAGUUGGAAUUGUUUUAUUUGGAACUGAAGACACUAGCAAUGACCUGACGAAUGAAGUGGGUGGAUAUGAACAUGUUGUGGUUUUAAGAAAUAUCAAAGUUGUUGAUGGAGACCUUGUUGAAGCUUUUAAACAGCUCCCUCGAGGAACUGUUGCUGGUGAUUUUAUUGAUGCAAUUGUUGUUGGGUUGGAUAUGCUGAUAAAGAAAUAUAGAGAAACCAACAAAGGAAAGAAACGUAUCUGUCUUAUAACAGAUGCAGUGUGUCCUAUUAAAGAUCCGUAUGAAGGAACCAAAGAAGAACAAGUCAGCACCAUUGCCGUGCAAAUGGCUGCACAUGGCAUCAAAAUGGAAAAUAUUAUUGUCAGAAGAAGUUCAUGUGGGAACGUAAAUAUGAGAAUAAUAGACGAGAAUGAAAAUUUGUUGAAUUUAUUUUCAGAGAAAUCAAGCUCCAAGACUGUGUAUGUUGAUAGUCCAACUUCAUUAUUAGGUGCACUUAGAACUCGAAAUAUAGCUCCAGUCACCAUAUUUAGAGGUGAUCUUGAACUUGGCCAGAAAAUGAAGAUUAAGGUAUGGGUGUACAAGAAAACGGCUGAAGAGAAGUUUCCCACGCUGAAGAAAUAUUCUGAUAAAGCGCCUCCAACUGAUAAGUUUGCCACACGUGAAGUGAAGGUAGAUUAUGAGUACAAAAGUGUUGAAGAUCCUAGUAAAGCUGUUCCUCCAGAACAAAGGAUUAAAGGUUAUCGCUAUGGACCUCAAGUGGUUCCUAUAUCAUCUGCUGAAUGGGAGGCUGUGAAGUUCAAACCAGAGAAGAGUUUGAAGCUUCUGGGAUUUACUGAUCCUUCAAACAUAUUGCGUCACUAUUACAUGAAAGAUGUCAAUCUUUUCAUCGCUGAACCGGGUAAUACAAGAGCGAUGCUUGCUGUUUCUGCUUUAGCAAGAGCAAUGAAGGAAAUGAAUAAAGUUGCAAUUUUGCGUUGUGUCUGGAGACAAGGACAGCAGAGUGUUGUUGUUGGGGUUUUGACUCCCAGUUUGUCUGAAAAACAUAACAUUCCCGAUUCAUUCUACUUCAAUGUCCUUCCUUUUAUUGAGGAUGUUCGAGAGUUUCAGUUCCCCUCUUUCAGCAAUUAUCCUAUGUCCUGGCAACCAAAUGAGCAACAGCAAGAGGUAGCAGAUAACCUGGUAAAAAUGCUUGACCUUGCACCAUCUGGCAAAGGGGAAAGCCUGCAGCCUGAAUUUACGCCAAAUCCUGUUCUGGAGCGUUUCUAUCAUCAUCUUGAGUUGAAAUCAAAGGACCCAGAUGCAGCUGUGCCUCCACUUGAUGAAACUCUCAAGAAGAUCACUGAGUGUGAUCCGGAACUUCUUGCUGAAAGCAAGUCCAUUAUUGAUGCUUUUCGUAGACAUUUUGAACUCAAGGAGAAUCCUAAGCUGAAGAAAUCAACUAGACGCUUCCUGCGGGAGAAACCAUCUGGCUCAGAGGGGGGAGAUGCUGAUGGUGAUGUCUCUGAUGCACAGGCUCUCAAUUCCAUUGAAGGCAAACCUGCAGUUCUGAUUGAGAAAAUUGGGGAUUUGACCCCUGUCCAAGACUUUGUGGCUAUGAUGUCACGAAGAGAUAGCCCAGAAUGGGUUGGUAAAGCAAUUGAGGAUAUGAAAAGGAAAAUUUUUGAGCUAGUGAAGUCCCAUGAAGGUGAUAAUUAUCCUAAAGCAGUGGAAUUCUUAGUUGCCCUCCGUAAAGGGUGCAUCCUUGAGCAAGAACCAAAACAGUUCAAUGAUUUCCUCCGCAGUCUUUGCAAAUUCUGUCAGGAAGAAAAUAUUGACCGUUUGUGUGAAUUACUUGCAUCCAAAGAACUCUCAUUAAUUCCGAAGUCAGAAGCCAUAGACAGUGAUGUAACAGAUGAUGAAGCUGGACGCUUUCUCAUGAGAUGAGAGCCAAAAGAUGACUAAUGUUAUCCAUUAAAAGUCAAACUUGUUAUAGUUUGUUCUCUUCGUAUAUGUGGUAAAUGUGAAUUCUGAUGGCUCAUGUACAGAUAUCCAGCUAUUUUGAAAUUUGGGGACUGAUAAAUCCAUCUUUUUAAGUUAACAUUAUAGUUUGUGCUUCAUCUUGGCAAGGGUUUUCAUGGAAGGAUCCUCGAUGAAAUAGGCUUGCUGUACGAUUUCUGUUUUUCAAAGACAAAAGUCGUAUCUUUUUUAAGUGCAAAAGAGCAUCUUCUACCUUGCUUGGAUGAGAUUAGCUUCUAUGGAUUCAAUACAAGAUGGUUGAUACGAAUACAAGAUGAGUAUUGUAUUUGUCCUAUGCAGACUAAUUUAUCUCAAUGUUAUUUUUUAUUUUGUUAAACCAAUAUAAAUUCCAAACCGAUCAUCUCAGGCGGGAUUGGGAACAACCUUGUACUGUUUUGAUGUAGAACCCCUAUUCCAGUCACAGCUCCUGAGUCCUGAGACGCUUUCUACAAUUUAUCUUCUUCUAGUCA
Pistacia vera is the source of this 2668-nucleotide RNA transcript. It is a transcript of the gene named ATP-dependent DNA helicase 2 subunit KU80, with no coding region annotated. NCBI's taxonomy places the organism in Eukaryota, Viridiplantae, Streptophyta, Magnoliopsida, Sapindales, Anacardiaceae. The transcript has 13 exons. The record is from RefSeq and is a predicted model, not a curated record.